AGUGAACGCUGGCGGCAGGCCUAAUACAUGCAAGUCGAACGGCAGCACAGCAGAGCUUGCUCUGUGGGUGGCGAGUGGCGGACGGGUGAGGAAUACGUGGGAAUCUGCCCAGUCGUGGGGGAUAACGUAGGGAAACUUACGCUAAUACCGCAUGCGCCCUUCGGGGAAAGCCGGGGACCUUCGGGCCUGGCGCGAUUGGAUGAGCCCACGUCGGAUUAGCUAGUUGGCGGGGUAAAGGCCCACCAAGGCGACGAUCCGUAGCUGGUCUGAGAGGACGAUCAGCCACACUGGAACUGAGACACGGUCCAGACUCCUACGGGAGGCAGCAGUAGGGAAUAUUGGACAAUGGGCGCAAGCCUGAUCCAGCCAUGCCGCGUGAGUGAAGAAGGCCCUCGGGUUGUAAAGCUCUUUGUCCGGGAAGAAAAGCGCCGGGUUAAUACCCUGGUGUCCUGACGGUACCGGAAGAAUAA
This 470-nucleotide ribosomal RNA is filed under the name uncultured bacterium. RNAcentral's name for it is "bacterial SSU rRNA". It matches the Rfam family "Bacterial small subunit ribosomal RNA", at positions 29 to 489 of the family's 1533-position model. The record is from RNAcentral.